RNAcentral lists this small nuclear RNA (113 nucleotides) under Neogobius melanostomus (round goby). Lineage: Eukaryota; Metazoa; Chordata; Actinopteri; Gobiiformes; Gobiidae. The record is from RNAcentral.
GUUAGUUCGCUAACACAUGAUACUAAAAUUGGAAACGAUACAGCAGAGAUUAGCAUGGCCCCUGCCCUGCGCAAGGAUGACACGCAAAUUCGUGAAGCCGUUCACUCAUCUUU